RNAcentral lists this ribosomal RNA (497 nucleotides) under uncultured bacterium. Its description in RNAcentral is "partial 16S ribosomal RNA". It matches the Rfam family "Bacterial small subunit ribosomal RNA", at positions 28 to 507 of the family's 1533-position model. The record is from RNAcentral.
GAUGAACGCUGGCGGCGUGCCUAAUACAUGCAAGUCGAGCGAACAGACGAGGAGCUUGCUCCUCUGACGUUAGCGGCGGACGGGUGAGUAACACGUGGAUAACCUACCUAUAAGACUGGGAUAACUUCGGGAAACCGGAGCUAAUACCGGAUAAUAUAUUGAACCGCAUGGUUCAAUAGUGAAAGACGGUUUUGCUGUCCAUUAUAGAUGGAUCCGCGCCGCAUUAGCUAGUUGGUGAGGUACCGGCUUACCAAGGCGACGAUGCGUAGCCGACCUGAGAGGGUGAUCGGCCACACUGGAACUGAGACACGGUCCAGACUCCGACGGGAGGCAGCAGUAGGGAAUCUGCCGCAAUGCGCGAGAGCCUGACGGAGCAGCGGCGCGUGAGUGAGGAAGGUCUUCGGGUCGUAGAUCUCUGUUAUUAGGGAUGAACAAAUGUGUAAGUAACUAUGCACGUCUUGACGGUACCUUGUCAGAAAGCCCCGGCUAACUACGUG